GACGAACGCUGGCGGCGUGCUUAACACAUGCCAGUCGAACGGAAAGGCCCUGCUUUUGUGGGGUGCUCGAGUGGCGAACGGGUGAGUAACACGUGAGUAACCUGCCCUUGACUUUGGGAUAACUUCAGGAAACUGGGGCUAAUACCGGAUAGGAGCUCCUGCUGCAUGGUGGGGGUUGGAAAGUUUCGGCGGUUGGGGAUGGACUCGCGGCUUAUCAGCUUGUUGGUGGGGUAGUGGCUUACCAAGGCUUUGACGGGUAGACGGCCUGAGAGGGUGACCGGCCACAUUGGGACUGAGAUACGGCCCAGACUCCUACGGGAGGCAGCAGUGGGGAAUAUUGCACAAUGGGCGGAAGCCUGAUGCAGCAACGCCGCGUGCGGGAUGACGGCCUUCGGGUUGUAAACCGCUUUCGCCUGUGACGAAGCGUGAGUGACGGUAAUGGGUAAAGAAGCACCGGCUAACUACGUG
This 468-nucleotide ribosomal RNA is filed under the name uncultured bacterium. Its description in RNAcentral is "partial 16S ribosomal RNA". It matches the Rfam family "Bacterial small subunit ribosomal RNA", at positions 28 to 507 of the family's 1533-position model. The record is from RNAcentral.